RNAcentral lists this ribosomal RNA (492 nucleotides) under uncultured bacterium. Its description in RNAcentral is "partial 16S ribosomal RNA". It matches the Rfam family "Bacterial small subunit ribosomal RNA", at positions 29 to 507 of the family's 1533-position model. The record is from RNAcentral.
AGUGAACGCUGGCGGUAGGCCUAACACAUGCAAGUCGAACGGCAGCACAGUAAGAGCUUGCUCUUACGGGUGGCGAGUGGCGGACGGGUGAGGAAUACAUCGGAAUCUACUUUUUCGUGGGGGAUAACGUAGGGAAACUUACGCUAAUACCGCAUACGACCUACGGGUGAAAGCAGGGGAUCUUCGGACCUUGCGCGAUUGAAUGAGCCGAUGUCGGAUUAGCUAGUUGGCGGGGUAAAGGCCCACCAAGGCGACGAUCCGUAGCUGGUCUGAGAGGAUGAUCAGCCACACUGGAACUGAGACACGGUCCAGACUCCUACGGGAGGCAGCAGUGGGGAAUAUUGGACAAUGGGGGCAAGCCUGAUCCAGCCAUACCGCGUGGGUGAAGAAGGCCUUCGGGUUGUAAAGCCCUUUUGUUGGGAAAGAAAAGCAGCAGGUUAAUACCCCGCUGUCCUGACGGUACCCAAAGAAUAAGCACCGGCUAACUUCGUG